AGCUCGAUCGGGUCGGCGGCACGCGUCACCACGAGGUAAUCCCUCAGCGCCACGCUGUGCCGGUUCUC
This is a non-coding RNA of Mycobacterium farcinogenes DSM 43637, 68 nucleotides long. Lineage: Bacteria; Bacillati; Actinomycetota; Actinomycetes; Mycobacteriales; Mycobacteriaceae. The record is from Rfam.